AUACGUAGGUGGCAAGCGUUGUCCGGAAUUAUUGGGCGUAAAGGGCUCGCAGGCGGUUUCUUAAGUCUGAUGUGAAAGCCCCCGGCUCAACCGGGGAGGGUCAUUGGAAACUGGGAAACUUGAGUGCAGAAGAGGAGAGUGGAAUUCCACGUGUAGCGGUGAAAUGCGUAGAGAUAUGGAGGAACACCAGUGGCGAAGGCGACUCUCUGGUCUGCAACUGACGCUGAGGCGCGAAAGCGUGGGGAUCAAACAGGAUUAGAUACCCUGGUAGUCCACGCCGUAAACGGUGAGUGCUAAGUGUUGGAGGGUUUCCGCCGUUCAGUGCUGCAGCUAACGCAUUAAGCACUCCGCCUGGUGAGUACGGCCGCAAGGCUGAA
Molecule: ribosomal RNA, 377 nt
Filed under: uncultured bacterium
Lineage: Bacteria
Description: bacterial SSU rRNA
Rfam family: Bacterial small subunit ribosomal RNA
Source: RNAcentral